This 376-nucleotide ribosomal RNA is filed under the name uncultured bacterium. Its description in RNAcentral is "bacterial SSU rRNA". It matches the Rfam family "Bacterial small subunit ribosomal RNA", at positions 8 to 349 of the family's 1533-position model. The record is from RNAcentral.
AGAGUUUGAUCAUGGCUCAGGAUGAACGCUGGCGGCAUGCCUAAGACAUGCAAGUCGAACGAGAUGGCCCAGUGAAAGUUGCGUGCUUGCACAAGACUGGAUCUGGAUCACCAUCUAGUGGCAGACGGGUGAGUAACACGUGGGUGACCUACCUUUUCGUUGGGGAUAACAGUUGGAAACGAUUGCUAAUACCGAAUAAAAUAUAAGAGUCGAUUUUAUAUUGAAAGGAGCCUUUAAAGCUUCGCGAUUAGAUGGGCCUGCGGCGUAUUAACUAGUUGGUGGGGUAAUGGCCUACCAAGGUAACGAUGCGUAGCCGAACUGAGAGGUUGAUCGGCCANACUGGGACUGAGACACGGCCCAGACUCCUACGGGAGCA